This 276-nucleotide ribosomal RNA is filed under the name uncultured Pseudomonas sp. RNAcentral's name for it is "partial 16S ribosomal RNA". It matches the Rfam family "Bacterial small subunit ribosomal RNA", at positions 1107 to 1382 of the family's 1533-position model. The record is from RNAcentral. Lineage: Bacteria; Pseudomonadati; Pseudomonadota; Gammaproteobacteria; Pseudomonadales; Pseudomonadaceae.
GUCCUUAGUUACCAGCACGUUAUGGUGGGCGACUCUAAGGAGACUGCCGGUGACAACCGGAGGAAGGUGGGGAUGACGUCAAGUCAUCAUGGCCCUUACGGCCUGGGCUACACACGUGCUACAAUGGUCGGUACAAAGGGUUGCCAAGCCGCGAGGUGGAGCUAAUCCCAUAAAACCGAUCGUAGUCCGGAUCGCAGUCUGCAACUCGACUGCGUGAAGUCGGAAUCGCUAGUAAUCGUGAAUCAGAAUGUCACGGUGAAUACGUUCCCGGGCCUU